Molecule: ribosomal RNA, 443 nt
Filed under: Pristimantis acuminatus (Canelos robber frog)
Lineage: Eukaryota; Metazoa; Chordata; Amphibia; Anura; Strabomantidae
Description: partial 16S ribosomal RNA
Rfam family: Bacterial large subunit ribosomal RNA
Source: RNAcentral
GAGGUCCCGCCUGCCCAGUGACGUUCAACGGCCGCGGUAUCCUAACCGUGCAAAGGUAGCGUAAUCACUUGUCUUUUAAAUAAGGACUAGUAUGAAAGGCGCCACGAGGGCUAAGCUGUCUCCUUUUUCUAAUCAGUGAAUCUGAUCCCCCUGUGAAGAAGCAGGGAUAUUCGUAUAAGACGAGAAGACCCUAUGGAGCUUAAAACAAUUGUGAGUUUUUGGUUGGGGUGACCGCGGAGAAUAACUAAUCCUCCACAGUGAAAAAUAAGUUACAACUUUAUGUAUCAAUAAAUUGACACCCAUUGACCCAAUACACUUGAUCAACGAACCAAGUUACCCUAGGGAUAACAGCGCCAUCCACUUUAAGAGCUCCUAUCGACAAGUGGGCUUACGACCUCGAUGUUGGAUCGGGAUAUCCUAGUGGUGCAGCCGCUACAAGGGUU